Molecule: non-coding RNA, 485 nt
Organism: Megalopta genalis
Lineage: Eukaryota; Metazoa; Arthropoda; Insecta; Hymenoptera; Halictidae
Source: RefSeq, a predicted model, not a curated record
GUGCGCCUUGUAAUUGCGAUCCAGAAGGUUCUUACAAUCAUACAUGCAAUGCCGUCACUGGUCAAUGCGAAUGCAGACCUGGUGUUACCGGUCAACAUUGCAAUGCUUGUCUUCCUUAUCAAUAUGGUUUUAGCAGAGAAGGUUGCAAGCCUUGCGAUUGUGACCGAAUCGGGUCUCAAGACUUGCAAUGCGACGUUAAUGGACAAUGUCAGUGUCUCACAAAUGUAGAAGGAAGACGUUGUGAUCGUUGUAAGGAAAAUAAACACAAUAGACAAAACGGUUGCGUAGACUGUCCAGAUUGUUAUAAUCUUGUUCAGGAUGCUGUCGAUACUCACAGGGAACGUGUAGCCGAAUUGGAAAAUACGCUUCGGAAAAUUAACAGCAGUCCGACUGUCAUAAAAGAUAGCGACUUCGAAAAUGAAUUGUUAACGGUCCAAGAAAAAGUGAAAAAUCUUUUGAAGAUUGCGAAACAAGGAUCUGGCAGU